AGAGUUUGAUCCUGGCUCAGGAUGAACGCUAGCGGGAGGCUUAACACAUGCAAGUCGAGGGGCAUCACGAGUCCGCCGUAAGGCGGAUUUGGUGGCGACCGGCAGACGGGUGAGUAACGCGUAUGCAACCUACCCUGUACAGGGGGAUAACCCGGAGAAAUUCGGACUAAUACCCCAUAAAUUUAUCGGAGGGCAUCCUUUGAUAAUUAAAGCUCCGGCGGUACGGGAUGGGCAUGCGUAACAUUAGCUGGUUGGUAAGGUAACGGCUUACCAAGGCUUUGAUGUUUAGGGGUCCUGAGAGGGUGGUCCCCCACACUGGUACUGAGACACGGACCAGACUCCUACGGGAGGCAGCAGUGAGGAAUAUUGGUCAAUGGGCGCAAGCCUGAACCAGCCAUCCCGCGUGCAGGAAGACGGCCCUAUGGGUUGUAAACUGCUUUUCCGAAAGGUGAAACUCAGCGACGUGUCGUUGAUUGACGGUAUUUUGGGAAUAAGCAUCGGCUAACUCCGUGCCAGCAGCCGCGGUAAUACGGAGGAUGCGAGCGUUAUCCGGAUUCAUUGGGUUUAAAGGGUGCGUAGGCGGACUAAUAAGUCAGUGGUGAAAUCCUGCAGCUUAACUGCAGAACUGCCAUUGAUACUGUUAGUCUUGAGUUUGGUUAAGGUAGGCGGAAUGUGUAAUGUAGCGGUGAAAUGCUUAGAUAUUACACAGAACACCAAUUGCGUAGGCAGCUUACUGGACCGACACCGACGCUGAGGCACGAAAGCGUGGGGAUCGAACAGGAUUAGAUACCCUGGUAGUCCACGCCGUAAACGAUGAUUACUCGCUGUUGGCGAUACACAGUCAGCGGCUAAGCAAAAGCAAUAAGUAAUCCACCUGGGGAGUACGGCCGCAAGGUUGAAACUCAAAGGAAUUGACGG
RNAcentral lists this ribosomal RNA (918 nucleotides) under uncultured Bacteroidota bacterium. RNAcentral's name for it is "bacterial SSU rRNA". It matches the Rfam family "Bacterial small subunit ribosomal RNA", at positions 8 to 916 of the family's 1533-position model. Lineage: Bacteria; Pseudomonadati; Bacteroidota. The record is from RNAcentral.